GACGAACGCUGGCGGCGUGCUUAAUACAUGCAAGUCGAACGGAAAGGCCCUGCUUUUGUGGGGUGCUCGAGUGGCGAACGGGUGAGUAAAACGCGAGUAACAUGCCCUUGACUUUGGGAUAACUUUAGGAAACUGGGGCUAAUACCGGAUAGGAGCUUCUGAUGCAUGGUGGGGGAAGGAAAGUUUCGGCGGUUGGGGAUGGUAUCGAGGCUUAUCCGCUUGUUUGUGGGGUAGGGGAUUACAAAGGCUUUGACGGGUAGCCGGCCUGGGAGGGUGACCGGCCACAUUGGGACUGAGAGACGGCCCAGACUGCUACGGGAGGCAGCAGGGGGGAAUAUUGCACAAUGGGCGGAAGCCUGAUGCAGCAACGCCGCGUGCGUGAUGACGUCCUUCGGGUUGUAAACCGCUUUCGCCUGUGACGAAGCGUGAUUGACGGUAAUGGGUAAAGAAGCACCGGCUAACUACGUG
Molecule: ribosomal RNA, 468 nt
Filed under: uncultured bacterium
Lineage: Bacteria
Description: partial 16S ribosomal RNA
Rfam family: Bacterial small subunit ribosomal RNA
Source: RNAcentral